AGUAACGGCGAGUGAAGCGGCAACAGCUCAAAUUUGAAAUCUGGCCUCCUUCGGUGGUCCGAGUUGUAAUUUGCAGAGGGUGCCUUGGCGUCGGCAGCGGUCUAAGUUCCUUGGAACAGGACAUCACAGAGGGUGAGAAUCCCGUACGUGGUCGCCUGCCUUCGCCGUGUAAAGCCCCUUCGACGAGUCGAGUUGUUUGGGAAUGCAGCUCUAAAUGGGAGGUAAAUUUCUUCUAAAGCUAAAUACCGGCCAGAGACCGAUAGCGCACAAGUAGAGUGAUCGAAAGAUGAAAAGCACUUUGGAAAGAGAGUCAAACAGCACGUGAAAUUGUUGAAAGGGAAGCGCUUGCAGCCAGACUUGCCCGUAGUUGCUCAUCGGAACUCCUGCUCCGAGCACUCUUCUGCGGGCAGGCCAGCAUCAGUUUGGGCGACCGGAUAAUGGCCUCUGUCAUGUAUCAUCCUUCGGGAUGACCUUAUAGGGGAGUCGUAGUACGGCCAGCCCGGACUGAGGUCCGCGCAUCAGCUAGGAUGCUGGCGUAAUGGCUGUAAGCGGCCCGUCUUGAAACACGGACCAAGGAGUCUAACAUCUAUGCGAGUGUUUGGGUGUCAAGCCCGGGCGCGUAAUGAAAGUGAACGGAGGUGGGAACCCUCUCGGGGGUGCACCAUCGACCGAUCCUGAUGUCUUCGGAUGGAUUUGAGUAAGAGCAUGGCUGUUGGGACCCGAAAGAUGGUGAACUAUGCUUGAAUAGGGUGAAGCCAGAGGAAACUCUGGUGGAGGCUCGCAGCGGUUCUGACGUGCAAAUCGAUCGUCAAAUUUGGGCAUAGGGGCGAAAGACUAAUCGAAC
Molecule: ribosomal RNA, 844 nt
Filed under: Halobyssothecium kunmingense
Lineage: Eukaryota; Fungi; Ascomycota; Dothideomycetes; Pleosporales; Lentitheciaceae
Description: Lentithecium sp. WD-2020a partial large subunit ribosomal RNA
Rfam family: Eukaryotic large subunit ribosomal RNA
Source: RNAcentral